RNAcentral lists this ribosomal RNA (465 nucleotides) under uncultured bacterium. Its description in RNAcentral is "partial 16S ribosomal RNA". It matches the Rfam family "Bacterial small subunit ribosomal RNA", at positions 28 to 506 of the family's 1533-position model. The record is from RNAcentral.
GAUGAACGCUGGCGGCGUGCUUAACACAUGCAAGUCGAACGGAAAGGCCCAAGCUUGCUUGGGUACUCGAGUGGCGAACGGGUGAGUAAAACGUGGGUGAUCUGCCCUGCACUUCGGGAUAAGCCUGGGAAACUGGGUCUAAUAUCGGAUAGGACCACAUUAUGGACGGUGUGGAGGAAAGAUUUUCGGUGUGGGCUGGGCUGGCGGCCUAUCAGCUUGUUGGUGGGGUAAUGGCCUCCGAAGGCGUCGACGGGUAGCCGGCCUGGGAGGGUGUACGGCCACAAUGGGACUAAGAUACGGCCCAGACUCCUACGGGAGGCAGCAGGGGGGAAUAUUGCACAAUGGGCGCAAGCCUGAUGCAGCGACGCCGGGUGGGGGAUGACGGCCUUCGGGUGGUAAACUACUUUCGCUAGGGACGAAGCGUUAUGUAACGUAACCUGGAGAAGAAGCACCGGCAAACUACGG